Molecule: ribosomal RNA, 658 nt
Filed under: uncultured fungus
Lineage: Eukaryota; Fungi
Description: eukaryotic LSU rRNA
Rfam family: Eukaryotic large subunit ribosomal RNA
Source: RNAcentral
CCCGCUGAACUUAAGCAUAUCAAUAAGCGGAGGAAAAGAAACUAACAAGGAUUCCCCUAGUAACUGCGAGUGAAGCGGGAAAAGCUCAAAUUUAAAAUCUGGCAGUCUCUGGCUGUCCGAGUUGUAAUCUAGAGAAGCGUCUUCCGCGCUGGACCGUGUACAAGUCUCCUGGAAGGGGGCGUCAUAGAGGGUGAGAAUCCCGUCUUUGACACGGACUACCAGGGCUAUGGGAUGCGCUCUCCACGAGGCGAGGUGGUUGGGAAUGCCGCUCAAAAUGGGUGGGAGAUUCCAUCUUAAGCUUAAUACUGGCGAAAGACCCAUAGCGAACAAGUACCGUGAGGGAAAGAUGAAAAGAACUUUGGAAAGAGAGGUAAACACGUACGUGAAAUUGCUGAAAGGGAAACCCUUGAAGGCCGGCACGUUGGACAGGGAUCUCACCUUGCUUUUGCUUGGUGUACUUUCUGGGUGAUGGGUCACCAUCCAUUUUGACCAUUGGAAUAAGGUCAAGGGAAUGUGGCAUCUUCUGAUGUGUUAUAGCCCUCGGUUGCCUACAAUGAGUGUUAUUGAUGAACUCAUCACGCCGCACGUCAGGGUUGUUAACCACGUACGUGCUUAGGAUGCUGCUUAAAUGGCUGUAAUCGACCCGUCUUGCGACACG